CUACGGGUUGCUCCAGUGAGGAAUAUUGCACAAUGGGGGGAACCCUGAUGCAGCAACGCCGCGUGGAGGAUGACGCAUUUCGGUGUGUAAACUCCUUUUAUAUGUCAAGAAAAUGACGGUAGCAUAUGAAUAAGCACCGGCUAACUCCGUGCCAGCAGCCGCGGUAAUACGGAGGGUGCAAGCGUUACUCGGAAUCACUGGGCGUAAAGGACGCGUAGGCGGGUUGGAAAGUCAGGUGUGAAAUCCUACAGCUUAACUGUAGAACUGCACUUGAAACUUCUAAUAUAGAGUAUGGGAGGGGGAGAUGGAAUUAGUGGUGUAGGGGUAAAAUCCGUAGAUAUCACUAGGAAUACCUAAAGCGAAGGCGAUCUCCUGGAACAUAACUGACGCUAAGGCGUGAAAGCGUGGGGAGCAAACAGGAUUAGAUACCCUAGUAGUC
RNAcentral lists this ribosomal RNA (439 nucleotides) under uncultured bacterium. Its description in RNAcentral is "partial 16S ribosomal RNA". It matches the Rfam family "Bacterial small subunit ribosomal RNA", at positions 339 to 795 of the family's 1533-position model. The record is from RNAcentral.